GACGAACGCUGGCGGCGUGCUUAACACAUGCAAGUCGAACGGAAAGGCCCUGCUUGCAGGGUGCUCGAGUGGCGAACGGGUGAGUAACACGUGGGUGAUCUGCCCCUUAUUUUGGGGUAAGCCUGGGAAACUGGGUCUAAUACUGGAUAGGACCAUGCUGUAGGGGGUGUGGUGGAAAGAUUAGUUUCGGUAGGGGGUGAGCUCGCGGCCUAUCAGCUUGUUGGUGGGGUAAUGGCCUACCAAGGCGUCGACGGGUAGCCGGCCUGAGAGGGUGGACGGCCACAUUGAGACUGAGACACGGCCCAGAAGCCUACGGGAGGCAGCAGUGGGGAAUAUUGCAAAAUGGGCGCAAGCCUGAUGCAGCGACGCCGCGUGGGGGAUGACGGCCUUCGGGUUGUAAACAACUUCCAGCCAUGACGAAGCCCUUGUGGUGACGGUAGUGGUAGAAGAAGCACCGGCUAACUACGUG
This 469-nucleotide ribosomal RNA is filed under the name uncultured bacterium. RNAcentral's name for it is "partial 16S ribosomal RNA". It matches the Rfam family "Bacterial small subunit ribosomal RNA", at positions 28 to 507 of the family's 1533-position model. The record is from RNAcentral.